GAUGCGCCCGGAUGAGGUCUUCAUCGGCCGUAAUCGGAUAUCCACGGGUCGGUGGGACUUUCGUCCGUUUGCAAG
This 75-nucleotide microRNA precursor is filed under the name Dufourea novaeangliae. Its description in RNAcentral is "mir-278 microRNA precursor family". It matches the Rfam family "mir-278 microRNA precursor family". Lineage: Eukaryota; Metazoa; Arthropoda; Insecta; Hymenoptera; Halictidae. The record is from Rfam by way of RNAcentral.